This 435-nucleotide ribosomal RNA is filed under the name uncultured bacterium. Its description in RNAcentral is "bacterial SSU rRNA". It matches the Rfam family "Bacterial small subunit ribosomal RNA", at positions 30 to 460 of the family's 1533-position model. The record is from RNAcentral.
AUUGAACGCUGGCGGCAGGCCUAACACAUGCAAGUCGAACGGUAACAGGAAGAAGCUUGCUUCUUUGCUGACGAGUGGCGGACGGGUGAGUAAUGUCUGGGAAACUGCCUGAUGGAGGGGGAUAACUACUGGAAACGGUAGCUAAUACCGCAUAACGUCGCAAGACCAAAGAGGGGGACCUUCGGGCCUCUUGCCAUCGGAUGUGCCCAGAUGGGAUUAGCUAGUAGGUGGGGUAACGGCUCACCUAGGCGACGAUCCCUAGCUGGUCUGAGAGGAUGACCAGCCACACUGGAACUGAGACACGGUCCAGACUCCUACGGGAGGCAGCAGUGGGGAAUAUUGCACAAUGGGCGCAAGCCUGAUGCAGCCAUGCCGCGUGUAUGAAGAAGGCCUUCGGGUUGUAAGUACUUUCUAGCGGGGAGGAAGGGAGGUAAA